Parus major (Great Tit) is the source of this 1832-nucleotide long non-coding RNA. Lineage: Eukaryota; Metazoa; Chordata; Aves; Passeriformes; Paridae. The record is from Ensembl.
AGCGCGGGGGGGUUAGGGUCGCCCCGCCCCGCCCCCGCGGGAAGGUGGCGGCGGCCGCGCACCUGCGGCGGUGACGGACGGACGGACGGACGGACAGACGCGGGGCGGGAGCGCCGGCAGAAGCGGCCCGACGGGGCGCCCCCCUCACCUCUGCCGCGCACCGGCAAGGGGCGGACAACAGCCGCCCCGUGUGGAGAGGGGUGGCUGACAAACUUUAGGAGAGUCACCCCCGCGUGGGCGGGGGCUGCUCUGCGGUGCCCCAUGCGGUAAAGUUUUCCACGCGAGAAGGUUUCCGCAGAGCAGUGUCGGAGCCCCAGGGUGCGCCUCUUUCUCGCGUAAAGCAUCGGGCGGUGGAGCAAACCCGCGUUUGCGGACGCUGUCGCCCCACGCGGGUCACAAACUUUAGGAGGCACGGUCCCGCGGCCGCCCAGCCCGCCGCACGGCGUCCCUCGCCCCGCUCAGUGGCACCGGCUCCGCCGCGCGUCGCGGGGCUGUCAGCAGGAGCCGCGCGGGCAUUUUCCACGUGGGAGGCAGGAAAUAAACAUGAAAUCGAGCAUCAGGUUGCGGCGCGUGGAACAACCGGUGGUACUGAGACACGGGUCUUCGGUGCUGCCGGCCCCGGGCCCCUGCGCAGCACGACCCGAGUUUAGGUCAACUUAACCCUGUCCCAUCCCGCUCCCGACCGGCUCGUAGUGGGGGAAAAAAAAAAAAAAAAAAAAAAAAAAGAUUAAAGAAACCUACAAAAGUGGAUCGCGGCAGGUCUGGGCUGCUAUCCGGACCGAAACCUGUCGGGCGCGCUCUGUCCCGCCUGACCGCGGCUUUCCGCGGCUCGGGACAGGGAGCAUCCGCACCCCUGCCCCGGCUGCUGAGAUUUUCCCGGCCGCUGCCGGCGAGGACGCGAGGCUGAACGAGGGGAAACAGCCUCAGGCUUGCGGACAGCGGGGGAUACACCAGGGAGAGGGAAUAACGUCCUGCGGAGGCCCGGGCAGCAGCGGAGCGCUGCAGGGCGCUCGGCGACAGGGUGGGCCAGAAGAUUACUUUGGAGCUCAUGUAAGUGACACUCCAAGGAUUGGCCAGCAGCAGGUUCAGCGGCCCCAGCCCCCGGAGCCGUGGGAUGUCAUCUCUGACAUGCCUGGAAACCCCAGCUCAUCCCUCAACUGUCCAGUUACAGCAGCAUCUCCGUCAUGUUGCACUUCCAGUCUGUCACUGGCAUGGGUUCAUGCUCCUCUCCCGGGAAGCCUGCUCGCUUUUGCUGAGGACUGUGUUUUUAUUUUUAACACAGAGUCCUUUACAUCAGCGCCACUGAGGGUUUCUUUUGCAGGAUGGGAUUCUGCCGUAGGAGGGAACGGCUGGGGAUCCUACACCAAAUGUGCCUGCAUGUGCUAAGAGGGGAGCUGUGCAUUAAAGCACGCUCUUUUUUCCAUCCUUCUGUGGGAAGGAGUUUUUGGGUGAUCUCUGCCUGCCUGGAAGGGAGGGGUUGUCCCAGCAGCUUCGCCCCACACCAGUCACCUGGUCCCCAGAGCCCAGGAUGCUCCUGGUGGGGGAACACAGCCAGAGUGCUCCCACCAGCUGUAGCCAGACAUUAUGGCUCGUGCUGGAGGGACUCGCUGCCGGCACCGUAAUUGCAGGCUAGCUGGAUUUUUGCUGUGGUAUUACAAAUUCCCCCAGGGAAGCCCACAGCUAUGACCAUUUUCAUGGUAACAUUGUCAGGCAUGAGUCAUUUUCUUCCCUCUCUGUCUCUGUUUGUCCUCUCUCUCACACACACACACACUCAAAAAUGCAAGGACAAAUCAACAAACCGGUAAAUAAAAUGUAAAUGUUGCUUUAGUGCA